UACAGAGGGUGCAAACGUUGCUCGGAAUUAUUGGGCGUAAAGCGCGUGUAGGCGGCCCGUUAUGUCGGCUGUGAAAGCCCAUGGCUCAACCAUGGAAGUGCAGCCGAAACUGGUGGGCUAGAGUCCUGGAGAGGGUGGCGGAAUGCCCAGUGUAGAGGUGAAAUUCGUAGAUAUUGGGUAGAACACCGGUGGCGAAGGCGGCCACCUGGACAGCGACUGACGCUAAGACGCGAAAGCGUGGGGAGCGAACAGG
RNAcentral lists this ribosomal RNA (253 nucleotides) under uncultured bacterium. RNAcentral's name for it is "partial 16S ribosomal RNA". It matches the Rfam family "Bacterial small subunit ribosomal RNA", at positions 524 to 776 of the family's 1533-position model. The record is from RNAcentral.